AAUCAACGCUGGCGGCGUGCCUCAGACAUGCAAGUCGAACGAGAAAGUCCCCUUCGGGGGAUGAGUAAAGUGGCGCACAGGUGAGUAACACGUAGGUAAUCUACCUUCGGGUGGGGAAUAACCCAGGGAAACUUGGGCUAACACCGCAUAAUGCAGCGGCACCACAUGGUGACAGUUGUUAAAGCGGGGGAUUUUAGGAC
Molecule: ribosomal RNA, 200 nt
Filed under: uncultured bacterium
Lineage: Bacteria
Description: partial 16S ribosomal RNA
Rfam family: Bacterial small subunit ribosomal RNA
Source: RNAcentral